AUUGAACGCUGGCGGCAGGCCUAACACAUGCAAGUCGAACGCGUGGCGGACGGGUGAAUAAUGUCUGGGAAACUGCCAGAUGGAGGGGGAUAACUACUGGAAAGGGUCUCUAAUACCGUAUACCCUCGGAAGUGCCCAGAUGGGAUUAGCUUAUAGGUGGGGUAAAGGCUCACCUAGGCGACGAUCCCUAGCUGGUCUGAGAGGAUGACCAGCCACACUGGGACUGAGACACGGUCCAGACUCCUACGGGAGGCAGCAGUGGGGAAGAUUGCACAAUGGGCGCAAGCCUGAUGCAGCCAUGCCGCGUGUAUGAAGAAGGCCUUAGGGUUGUAAAGUACUUUCAGCGGGGAGGCGUUACCCGCAGAAGAAGCACCGGCUAACUCCGUGCCAGCAGCCGCGGUAAUAC
RNAcentral lists this ribosomal RNA (406 nucleotides) under uncultured bacterium. Its description in RNAcentral is "partial 16S ribosomal RNA". It matches the Rfam family "Bacterial small subunit ribosomal RNA", at positions 30 to 526 of the family's 1533-position model. The record is from RNAcentral.